Molecule: ribosomal RNA, 408 nt
Filed under: uncultured bacterium
Lineage: Bacteria
Description: partial 16S ribosomal RNA
Rfam family: Bacterial small subunit ribosomal RNA
Source: RNAcentral
GACGAACGCUGGCGGCGUGAUUAACACAUGCAAGUCGAACGAAGUGGCGAACGGGUGAGUAACGCGUAAUCAACCUGCCCUUCAGAGGGGGACAACAGUUGGAAACGACUGCUAAUACCGCAUACUGAAGGCGGGGAUUGCGUCUGAUUGGAUAGUUGGCGGGGUAACGGCCCACCAAGGUGAGGAUAAGUAGCCGGUCUGAGAGGAUGAACGUCCACAUUGGGGCUGAGACACGGCCCAGACUCCUACGGGAGGCAGCAGUGGGAAAUCUUCCGCAAUGGACGAAAGUCUGACGGAGCAACGCCGCGUGAGUGAUGACGGCCUUCGGGUUGUAAAGCUCUGUUAAUCGGGACGCGGUACCGGAAUAGAAAGCCACGGCUAACUACGUGCCAGCCGCCGCGGUAAUUC